RNAcentral lists this ribosomal RNA (443 nucleotides) under uncultured bacterium. RNAcentral's name for it is "partial 16S ribosomal RNA". It matches the Rfam family "Bacterial small subunit ribosomal RNA", at positions 338 to 795 of the family's 1533-position model. The record is from RNAcentral.
CCUACGGGAGGCAGCAGUGGGGAAUAUUGGGCAAUGGGCGCAAGCCUGACCCAGCAACGCCGCGUGAAGGAAGAAGGCUUUCGGGUUAUAAACUUCUUUUCUCAGGGACGAAGCAAGUGACGGUACCUGAGGAAUAAGCCACGGCUAACUACGUGCCAGCAGCCGCGGUAAUACGUAGGUGGCAAGCGUUAUCCGGAUUUACUGGGUGUAAAGGGCGUGUAGGCGGGAAAGCAAGUCAGAUGUGAAAACCAUGGGCUCAACCUGUGGCCUGCAUUUGAAACUGUUUUUCUUGAGUACUGGAGAGGCAGACGGAAUUCCUAGUGUAGCGGUGAAAUGCGGAGAUAUUAGGAGGAACACCAGUGGCGAAGGCGGUCUGCUGGACAGCAACUGACGCUGAGGCGCGAAAGCGUGGGGAGCAAACAGGAUUAGAUACCCCUGUAGUC